Molecule: long non-coding RNA, 206 nt
Organism: Rhinichthys klamathensis goyatoka
Lineage: Eukaryota; Metazoa; Chordata; Actinopteri; Cypriniformes; Leuciscidae
Exons: 3
Source: RefSeq, a predicted model, not a curated record
GAGUUUAACAACAGAACACAGACUUUGAAAAACAACUCUGCCCUUUAAUGAGGCCAAAGACAAGUGGAGGCUUCCUGAGCCCCGUGUGGGCACUUACAGGAGAAUGUCAAAACGUGAACAGCACCUAUCUGGUGUGCGGACAGACUGCUAGUUAGUCUUAAACGGUGCUUUAAAGGGCUUUCACAUCGAGAUCAUAUACAACCAAA